UACGUAGGGGGCGAGCGUUGUCCGGAGUUCCUGGGCGUAAAGCGCACGCAGGCGGUCUGCUAAGUUUGGAGUGACAGUUGGUGGCUUAACUGCCAAAGUGCUUCGAAAACUGACAGACUUGAGGGCUUCAGAGGGACACGGAAUUCCGGGUGGAGUGGUGAAAUGCGUAGAGAUCCGGAGGAACACCAAAGGCGAAGGCAGUGUCCUGGGGAGUACCUGACGCUCAGGUGCGAAAGCCAGGGGAGCGAACGGG
Molecule: ribosomal RNA, 253 nt
Filed under: uncultured bacterium
Lineage: Bacteria
Description: partial 16S ribosomal RNA
Rfam family: Bacterial small subunit ribosomal RNA
Source: RNAcentral